AGAGUUUGAUCCUGGCUCAGGAUGAACGCUAGCGGCAGGCUUAACACGAUGCAAGUCGAGGGGCAGCGCGGGUAGCAAGUACCUGGCGGCGACCGGCGAAAGGGUGCGUAACGCGUGAGCAACUUGCCCGUAUCCGGGGGAUAAGCGCUGGAAACGGCGUCUAAUACCGCAUAACAACAGAGGCCGCAUGACUUCUGUUUGAAAACUCCGGUGGAUACGGAUGGGCUCGCGAGACAUUAGCUUGUUGGCGGGUAACGGCCCACCAAGGCUACGAUGUCUAGGGGUUCUGAGAGGAAGGUCCCCACAUUGGAACUGAGACACGGUCCAAACUCCUACGGGAGGCAGCAGUGAGGAAUAUUGGUCAAUGGCCGGAAGGCUGAACCAGCCAUGCCGCGUGAAGGAUUAAGGCCCUAUGGGUCGUAAACUUCUUUUGUGGUGGAGCAAUAAGUGUCACGUGUGGCACGAUGAGAGUACAUCACGAAUAAGCAUCGGCUAACUCCGUGCC
Molecule: ribosomal RNA, 505 nt
Filed under: uncultured bacterium
Lineage: Bacteria
Description: bacterial SSU rRNA
Rfam family: Bacterial small subunit ribosomal RNA
Source: RNAcentral